AUACGGAGGGUGCAAGCGUUAUUCGGAAUCACUGGGCGUAAAGGACGCGUAGGCGGGUUGGCAAGUCAGAUGUGAAAUCCUACAGCUUAACUGUAGAACUGCAUUUGAAACUGCUAACCUAGAGUAUGGGAGGGGGAGAUGGAAUUAGUGGUGUAGGGGUAAAAUCCGUAGAUAUCACUAGGAAUACCGAAAGCGAAGGCGAUCUCCUGGAACAUAACUGACGCUAAGGCGUGAAAGCGUGGGGAGCAAACAGGAUUAGACACCCUAGUAGUCC
RNAcentral lists this ribosomal RNA (274 nucleotides) under uncultured bacterium. Its description in RNAcentral is "partial 16S ribosomal RNA". It matches the Rfam family "Bacterial small subunit ribosomal RNA", at positions 523 to 796 of the family's 1533-position model. The record is from RNAcentral.